Molecule: ribosomal RNA, 359 nt
Filed under: uncultured bacterium
Lineage: Bacteria
Description: partial 16S ribosomal RNA
Rfam family: Bacterial small subunit ribosomal RNA
Source: RNAcentral
UGGGGAAUAUUGGACAAUGGGCGAAAGCCUGAUCCAGCCAUGUCGCGUGUGUGAAGAAGGUCUUCGGAUUGUAAAGCACUUUAAGUUGGGAGGAAGGGCAUUAACCUAAUACGUUAGUGUUUUGACGUUACCGACAGAAUAAGCACCGGCUAACUCUGUGCCAGCAGCCGCGGUAAUACAGAGGGUGCAAGCGUUAAUCGGAAUUACUGGGCGUAAAGCGCGCGUAGGUGGUUUGUUAAGUUGGAUGUGAAAUCCCCGGGCUCAACCUGGGAACUGCAUUCAAAACUGACUGACUAGAGUAUGGUAGAGGGUGGUGGAAUUUCCUGUGUAGCGGUGAAAUGCGUAGAUAUAGGAAGGAA